CCCUCCAUAGCUCAGUGGUAGAGCGGUCGGCUGUAGACCGACAGGCCGUGUGUUCAAAUCACACUGGAGGGA
RNAcentral lists this transfer RNA (72 nucleotides) under Microcaldota archaeon. RNAcentral's name for it is "tRNA-Tyr". It matches the Rfam family "tRNA". Rfam says of the family: Transfer RNA (tRNA) molecules are approximately 80 nucleotides in length. Their secondary structure includes four short double-helical elements and three loops (D, anti-codon, and T loops). Lineage: Archaea; Nanobdellati; Microcaldota. The record is from RNAcentral.